This is a non-coding RNA of Cynocephalus volans (Philippine flying lemur), 73 nucleotides long. NCBI's taxonomy places the organism in Eukaryota, Metazoa, Chordata, Mammalia, Dermoptera, Cynocephalidae. The record is from the annotation of a RefSeq genome assembly.
GGCUGGUUAGCUCAGUUGGUUAGAGUGUGGUGUUAUAAUACCAAAGCCAAGGGUUCGAUUCCCUUACUGGCCA